GAGUUUGAUCGUGGCUCAGAUUGAACGCUGGCGGCAUGCCUUACAUAUGCAAGUCGAACGGCAGCAUGAUCUAGCUUGCUAGAUUGAUGGCGAGUGGCGAACGGGUGAGUAAUACAUCGGAACGUGCCCUGUAGUGGGGGAUAACUAGUCGAAAGAUUAGCUAAUACCGCAUACGACCUGAGGGUGAAAGUGGGGGACCGCAAGGCCUCAUGCUAUAGGAGCGGCCGAUGUCUGAUUAGCUAGUUGGUGGGUAAAGGCCCACCAAGGCGACGAUCAGUAGCUGGUCUGAGAGGACGAUCAGCCACACUGGGACUGAGACACGGCCCAGACUCCUACGGGAGGCAGCAGUGGGGAAUUUUGGACAAUGGGCGAAAGCCUGAUCCAGCAAUGCCGCGUGUGUGAAGAAGGCC
RNAcentral lists this ribosomal RNA (410 nucleotides) under uncultured microorganism. RNAcentral describes it as "bacterial SSU rRNA". It matches the Rfam family "Bacterial small subunit ribosomal RNA", at positions 9 to 416 of the family's 1533-position model. The record is from RNAcentral.